Long non-coding RNA from Hirundo rustica (Barn swallow), 1663 nucleotides. RefSeq lists it as uncharacterized. NCBI's taxonomy places the organism in Eukaryota, Metazoa, Chordata, Aves, Passeriformes, Hirundinidae. The transcript has 3 exons. The record is from RefSeq and is a predicted model, not a curated record.
GCCAGGAGGUCGUGUGAGGGACAGACAGCGCUAGGUGGUCAUGCGAGGAAUGGGAAGGACUGAGCUGGAACUGCAGAAGGCAGAGAGAAGAAGGAGAGAAAGAGCCAGAGCUGCCCAUGGGAGGCUACACAGAAAAGCUUCACAGAGCUGUGUAAACUUCUGUUCAUCAAUACCCAGCAAACCAGAAGAGCAGUUCAGUUGCACAUAGAGCUCAUUUGUAACACCGACAGCUUUAACACUACCUAAACAAGAGCUGCUUCGCUGAACGCCACUAGAGAUGGAUGGGAUUACAGAAAAUAAAUAGGAUUCAUCAAGCAGUAAAGAUACAUAAGGAACUAACUCCUACCACUUCUUGAAGGAUACUACUUACUGCCUCCUCUAAGUCUCCUGACAUAAACUGGAAUAUGCAAAUACUGAAUUCAGCAGAAAAGCAAGAGCCUCACCAGAAGAAAUGGUUCAGACUAUCUUCCAAGGGUGGAACAUGAGAUUGUUCACCCAUAACAAACUUGUUCAGAGAGCUCUUCCAGUUGUUUGCGUUGUUUCUGUUCUGUUUCAGUGACUGAUAUGCAUAAAGCUGUACAAAUGUGUACACAUGUGAGUGAAGAAGCAUGUUUAUAAGUUCUGAUUAAUUGGCAGCAACUAAAGGGAUGAGGGAGAGUAGUUCUAAGCAGUGGGGGUUAUCAGACUUGGCUCAGGACCGAUAGUAUAGACCAAAGGUUGUUGAACCCUGUCUAAAGACGAAAGAAAUAAGAAUUUAAGGGCCUGAGAACAGAUCUAUUGGUAGUGACUUCUGUGCUAUGAAGCAUUAGGAAAUUUUACUUUGGGCAGAGGAUGAAAUGGACCUACUGAGGGUAAAAAUAGUCAGACAUCUCUUGCAAACAACCAUGAAUAGUCAGUGGGAGGGAGUUUCUCAGUAAAAGAGAAAUGGCUUGCAGAGUACUGAAGCAAACUGAGAUAUUCAGGAUGAUAGUUCUGAGCCAACAGAAUAACAGACUGGAUGGCAAAGGUUUAUGCAGCUAAAGAGAGGAUGAGGGAGGGAAUUGGAUGUACAGUCUGCUUUCACUAAUUAGUGUUUCAGUUCCUCCUCUCAGUUAUCUAGGCUCAGGGAAGAGAAGGCCAGAAAUAAAGAAGCACAGCACAUGUACUGCCAACUCUGCUAUAUUAGCAGUGUCUGUAGUAAAACACCUUCUGAAAUCAAGCCCACUAGUGCAUAUAUCUGCUUUCCUCAGCCAAACCUUCUGAAAAGUUUAUGACAGAGAAAAGGAAAUUAUUUAUAUACACUCUUGGUAAUGGGCAAUUAAUAAAAUGUCACCACAUAUAAUAUAUGCACCAAGGCGCAUUAUUGGCAAAAUAAUAUAUGGCACUUAAAGUAUGGUGUUUCAGGCUACUAUUCAAAGGAUGAAGUGAAGAUUCAAUGAAAAUGACUGAUUAUAGAAAUUAAUUAUGAAAGAUCCUGAAACAUUGCAAUUUAAAUAUGUUGUGGGUCUAGGCCUAUAAAACUGGAAAAAUCUGUCACAACUGUUAAGACUGUGUGAUUAUUAAGAGAUGCCUCCGCCUGAAUUAAGACGCAAACAAGACCAUAUGUCCAAGCUAAUAGUACUGAUUUUAUUUAAUAAUAAAAUUUGAGGUAGAGAGAUAGAAAGAAAUAGAGGGGAAAGGAGGG